CAGUCGCCGCGGUAAAACGUAGGUGGCAAGCGUUGUCCGGAAUUAUUGGGCGUAAAGGGCUCGCAGGCGGUUUCUUAAGUCUGAUGUGAAAGCCCCCGGCUCAACCGGGGAGGGUCAUUGGAAACUGGGAAACUUGAGUGCAGAAGAGGAGAGUGGAAUUCCACGUGUAGCGGUGAAAUGCGUAGAGAUGUGGAGGAACACCAGUGGCGAAGGCGACUCUCCGGUCUGUAACUGACGCUGAGGAGCGAAAGCGUGGGGAGCGAACAGGAUUAGAUACCCCGGUAGUCCCUGUCUCUUAUAC
Molecule: ribosomal RNA, 301 nt
Filed under: uncultured bacterium
Lineage: Bacteria
Description: partial 16S ribosomal RNA
Rfam family: Bacterial small subunit ribosomal RNA
Source: RNAcentral